UAUUCCUGUACCCGUUGUUUUUGUUUGAGCAAUGGAGGGACGCAGGAGGCUAAGGAAUGCAGACGAUCGGAAAUGUCUGUCCAAGCAGUAAGUCUGAAGAGGAGUCAAAUGCUUCUUUUCUUAAGGACAAGCUGUGAUGGGGAGGGAAAUAAUAGUACCGAAGUUCCUGAUGUCACACUGCCGAGAAAAGCUUCUAGUGAGAAAACAGCGGCCCGUACCGCAAACCGACACAGGUAGUCGAGGAGAGAAUCCUAAGGUGAGCGAGAGAACUCUCGUUAAGGAACUCGGCAAAAUGACCCCGUAACUUCGGGAGAAGGGGUGCUGAUCAUACGAUCAGCCGCAGUGAAUAGGCCCAAGCGACUGUUUAUCAAAAACACAGGUCUCUGCAAAAUCGUAAGAUGAAGUAUAGGGGCUGACGCCUGCCCGGUGCUGGAAGGUUAAGAGGAGUGCUUAGCGCA
This 458-nucleotide ribosomal RNA is filed under the name Enterococcus faecium. Its description in RNAcentral is "partial 23S ribosomal RNA". It matches the Rfam family "Bacterial large subunit ribosomal RNA", at positions 1434 to 1897 of the family's 2925-position model. The record is from RNAcentral. Lineage: Bacteria; Bacillati; Bacillota; Bacilli; Lactobacillales; Enterococcaceae.